CGGCUGCAGGGGCCUAUGUCCAUAUGGUCACUCAUUUCAUUCAGGCUGGCCUGCUGUCUGCCUUGGGCUCCCUGAUAUUGAUGAUUUGGCUGAUGGCAACACCUCAUAGCCAUGAAACUGAACAGAAAAGACUGGGACUUCUUGCUGGAUUUGCAUUCCUUACAGGAGUUGGCCUGGGCCCUGCCCUGGAGUUUUGUAUUGCCGUCAACCCCAGCAUCCUUCCCACUGCUUUCAUGGGCACAGCAAUGAUCUUUACCUGCUUCACCCUCAGUGCACUCUAUGCCAGGCGCCGUAGCUACCUCUUUCUGGGAGGUAAGUGUGAACUGGGAAACAGGGAAUGGGGGCUCCUCUUUAGCCAGAAUUCUCACUAGUACUCCUUCCUUACCCCUAACUCCUUUGCGACUAUUGAGUUGAGAUUAACCUUCAUUCUGGGGGAAGUUAAGGAAUGGCUUUAAUGGGAUUGCUUUACUUUGCCUUGGCUUCUCUCAAGACAGCUUUUUGCUGUGUCUUAUAGGUAUCUUGAUGUCAGCCCUGAGCUUG
RNAcentral lists this small RNA (540 nucleotides) under Pan troglodytes (chimpanzee). Its description in RNAcentral is "retained intron". The record is from RNAcentral. Lineage: Eukaryota; Metazoa; Chordata; Mammalia; Primates; Hominidae.